GAUGAACGCUAGCGGCAGGCUUAACACAUGCAAGUCGAGGGGCAGCAGGCGGUAGCAAUACUGUGCUGGCGACCGGCGCACGGGUGCGUAACGCGUAUGCAACCUACCCACUACAGGGGGAUAACGGAGGGAAACUUCCACUAAUAUCCCAUGGAGUUGUUUUUUCGCAUGGAGAGACAACUAAAGCUACGGUGGUAGUGGAUGGGCAUGCGUGACAUUAGGUAGUUGGUGAGGCAACGGCUCACCAUGCCGACGAUCGGUAGCCGGACUGAGAGGUCGAUCGGCCACAUUGGGACUGAGACACGGCCCAGACUCC
RNAcentral lists this ribosomal RNA (316 nucleotides) under uncultured Bacteroidales bacterium. RNAcentral describes it as "bacterial SSU rRNA". It matches the Rfam family "Bacterial small subunit ribosomal RNA", at positions 28 to 339 of the family's 1533-position model. Lineage: Bacteria; Pseudomonadati; Bacteroidota; Bacteroidia; Bacteroidales. The record is from RNAcentral.